Molecule: long non-coding RNA, 607 nt
Organism: Entelurus aequoreus (snake pipefish)
Lineage: Eukaryota; Metazoa; Chordata; Actinopteri; Syngnathiformes; Syngnathidae
Exons: 3
Source: RefSeq, a predicted model, not a curated record
AUAGUUGGCGCGCUGCUUGCUGUACAACUGCAAUCUUGACUUGGUUGACCAUCACUGGUUUUCACUUCUGGGAAAAAGUCACAUGAUGGAAUACAAGCAAUAGAAAGUAUUUGGCCACCCAUCCAAAUGAUCAGAAUCAGGUGUCCUUGUCACGGCCAGGACGCAUUCCAAUGCGCCCUCAUAUUUGCGCUCUGUUUGCCACACCUCGGGACGCGCCCACGGCCGCGUCAUGCCCACAUGGCUGUGGGCGAUCAGCAAUCAGCGCACCUGGACCUGAUGAGAGGGAGCUGUAUAAAGGACCAGUGGACCAAAGGAUUCAUGCGGGAACUUAGUUGACCUCUUUGGAUACCUGCCUUCCCGAGUCUCCCCCUUUGUUAUCUCCCGUUGUUUCCCCCGUGGUUUUUGGACUGCCUUCCUCGAUCCUCGACCCUCGCCUGUACACGAACUCUGACGCCUCUCUCUCGCCUUGGACCUUCUGCCUGCUCCAUGGACUGCCUUCCUGCCUUGUUCCUUCUCCUCGUUUCAACAUUUGGUAAGACUCAACAGCUAAUUAUUCAUACACAUAGUCUUCCACCAUACACCCCUUCUGGAUAUUAGUUCACACUCC